GGGGGAUAACAGCCGGAAACGGUUGCUAAUACCGCAUAAGCGCCAAAUGCCGCAUGGCAUGGGGCGGAAAACUCCGGUGGUAUGGGAUGGGCCCGCGUCUGAUUAGGCAGUUGGCGGGGCAGCGGCCCACCAAACCGACGAUCAGUAGCCGGCCUGAGAGGGCGGCCGGCCACAUUGGGACUGAGACACGGCCCAGACUCCUGCGGGAGGCAGCAGUGGGGAAUAUUGCACAAUGGGGGAAACCCUGAUGCAGCGACGCCGCGUGGGUGAAGAAGUAUUUCGGUAUGUAAAGCCCUAUCAGCAGGGAAGAAAAAAAUGACGGUACCUGACUAAGAAGCACCGGCUAAAUACGUGCCAGCAGCCGCGGUAAUACGUAUGGUGCAAGCGUUAUCCGGAUUUACUGGGCGUAAAGGGAGCGCAGGCGGCGCGCCAAGUCUGAUGUGAAACCCCGGGGCUCAACCCCGGGCAUGCAUUGGAAACUGGCGGGCUGGAGUGCCGGAGAGGUAAGCGGAAUUCCUAGUGUAGCGGUGAAAUGCGUAGAUAUUAGGAGGAACACCAGUGGCGAAGGCGGCUUACUGGACGGCAACUGACGCUGAGGCUCGAAAGCGUGGGGAGCAAACAGGAUUAGAUACCCUGGUAGUCCACGCUGUAAAC
This 654-nucleotide ribosomal RNA is filed under the name uncultured bacterium. Its description in RNAcentral is "bacterial SSU rRNA". It matches the Rfam family "Bacterial small subunit ribosomal RNA", at positions 138 to 807 of the family's 1533-position model. The record is from RNAcentral.